GAUGAACGCUGGCGGCGUGCCUAAUACAUGCAAGUCGAGCGAACGGACGCGGAGCUUGCUUGUCUGAUGUUAGCGGCGGACGGGUGAGUAACACGUGGAAAACCCACCUAUCUGACUGAGAUCACUUCGGGAAUCCGGAGCUAAUAGCGGAUAAUAUUCUGAACCGCGUGGUUCAAAGGAGAAAGACGGUGUUGCGGUCACUUAUCGAUGGAUCCGGGCUGCAUGAGCUAGUUGGUACGGUAACGGCUUACCAAGGCAACGAUGCAUAGCCGACCGGAGGGGCUGAUCGGCCACCCUGGAGCUGAGACACGGUCCAGACGCCUACGGGAGGCAGCAGUAUGGAAUCGUCCGCAAUAGGCGAAAGCAUGACGGAGCAACGCCGCGUGAGUUAUGAAGGUCUUCGGAUCGUAAAACUCUGUUAUGAGGUAAGAACAGAUUUGUAAGGAGCUGUGCACAUCUUGACGGUACCGAAUCAGAAAGCCACGGCUAACUACGUG
This 497-nucleotide ribosomal RNA is filed under the name uncultured bacterium. Its description in RNAcentral is "partial 16S ribosomal RNA". It matches the Rfam family "Bacterial small subunit ribosomal RNA", at positions 28 to 507 of the family's 1533-position model. The record is from RNAcentral.